UACGAAGGGUGCAAGCGUUACUCGGAAUUACUGGGCGUAAAGCGUGCGUAGGCGGUUUGUUAAGUCUGUCGUGAAAGCCCUGGGCUCAACCUGGGAAUUGCGAUGGAUACUGGCAAGCUAGAGUACGGUAGAGGAUGGUGGAAUUCCCGGUGUAGCGGUGAAAUGCGUAGAGAUCGGGAGGAACACCCGUGGCGAAGGCGGCAUCCUGGACCGACACUGACGCUGAGGAGCGAAAGCCAGGGGAGCAAACGGG
This 253-nucleotide ribosomal RNA is filed under the name uncultured bacterium. RNAcentral's name for it is "partial 16S ribosomal RNA". It matches the Rfam family "Bacterial small subunit ribosomal RNA", at positions 524 to 776 of the family's 1533-position model. The record is from RNAcentral.